RNAcentral lists this ribosomal RNA (440 nucleotides) under uncultured bacterium. Its description in RNAcentral is "partial 16S ribosomal RNA". It matches the Rfam family "Bacterial small subunit ribosomal RNA", at positions 338 to 795 of the family's 1533-position model. The record is from RNAcentral.
CCUACGGGUGGCAGCAGUGGGGGAUAUUGCACAAUGGGGGAAACCCUGAUGCAGCGACGCCGCGUGAGUGAAGAAGUAUUUCGGUUUGUAAAGCUCUAUCAUCAGGGAAGAAACUGACAGUAACUCCCCAGGAAUCCCCGGCGAACUACGUCCCAGCAGCCGCCGCAGUACGUAGGGGGCAAGCGUUAUCCGGAUGUACUGGGUGUAAAGGGGGCGUAGACGGUUAAGUAAGUCUGGAGUGAAAGCCCGGGGCCCAACCCCGGGACUGCUUUGGAAACUGUGUAACUGGAGUACAGGAGGGGCAGGCGGAAUUCCUGGUGUAGCGGUGAAAUGCGUAGAUAUCAGGAGGAACACCGGCGGCGAAGGCGGCCUGCUGGACUGAAACUGACGUUGAGGCGCGAAAGCGUGGGGAGCAAACAGGAUUAGAUACCCCUGUAGUC